UACGUAGGUCCCGAGCGUUGUCCGGAUUUACUGGGUGUAAAGGGAGCGUAGACGGCCAGACAAGUUUGAAGUGAAAAUCCAGCGCUUAACGUUGGAAGUGCUUUGGAAACUGCCGGGCUAGAGUGCAGGAGGGGCUGGCGGAAUUCCUAGUGUAGCGGUGAAAUGCGUAGAUAUUAGGAGGAACACCAGUGGCGAAGGCGGCCUGCUGGACCGCGACUGACGUUGAGGCUCGAAAGCGUGGGGAGCAAACAGG
This 253-nucleotide ribosomal RNA is filed under the name uncultured bacterium. RNAcentral's name for it is "partial 16S ribosomal RNA". It matches the Rfam family "Bacterial small subunit ribosomal RNA", at positions 524 to 776 of the family's 1533-position model. The record is from RNAcentral.